CACCGCCUUCCCGGAGUGGGGAGGUCCCUUAGGCCGCCCCGCAGCCGUGCUGGGCCUCCCCUGGAGUCGCUGCUGGGAGGUUCAAGAGGGCCUUGUCACCGGCCCUCGCAGCACGCCGUGCUUUCCUGAAGUGGGAUCUGUGUGACGCUGAAGGACACCCAGCACGAAUCGUUCCAGAUGAUGUUAAGAGGUUUCAUGCUGCCAGCGGCACGCAGCCCUGGGGACGGCUUCACAGCAGAGCUGUGGAGGCCACAACCCUGAUGUUAUCACGGAGCAGCACUGGUUUGUGAAGGCACGGGAGGCUGCUUCCAGUCUGGGGCUGUUAGAGGAAAUCGCGCUGUUUCCAGGGCUCUUCUUUUCUACAAAUUCCAUGCUGGAAAAAUUGGAGUCAGAAUCAUAACAAUUAAAAAGCAGGAAAACAAAUACAGAGAACCCUGCAUUAAUUAUUUGAAUUCUCAUGAUUUCCAGGGUUAUACUGUGAUUUCUAGAUGGAGUUCAGAAUUUCUGAGAGCGUGCUUUGGCUGGCUGCCAAGGGGUGCAUUGAAAGCUAAGAAUAAUACGUACCAGUUGAAGUUUCUCCUUCUCUAUGCCACCCUCUUGAAAAUCGUUUAAUGUGAAGAAGAUAUCACAGAUGCCAUAUCAUGUAACACAGCUCGCUGGCCUGGCAGAGGACUGCUACAUAGCCGUGCAGCUGUUCUCUCUGUGAAACUACAGAUCUGCACACGUUGAGCACUGGUUGAGGGCCGCUCUGUCCCGCUGCGGUUGGUCCUUACAAUAUGCAGGCUGCCACAGGAACUUGUAAUUCAAAUCCAUAACGUCCUCAAAGACUCAAAGGCAGAAAAUAGCAUGAUAAAAAUCAAAGGCUGUACUUCAUACGUGAGUUGUCUCCUAACUUCCCUGCAAGAGCACUGUUUUUGCAGGUUUGUAUGUCCCCAGGUGGCUGUAUGGGGGCCUAGCAAUACAUUUGCACCAGACAAAGCAGACUUUCAAAGGCUAGCAGACAUGUUUCAUCUUAAGGGUACCAGGUAAAGUGUUUGUUAAGAUCUGAAUUUACUGUUCCUUGUUGAUAAAACGAUCUCUCCCUAAAGGUACAUAGAGAGGUAAGAUCCUUAUAGUUUAGGAAGA
Molecule: long non-coding RNA, 1125 nt
Organism: Meleagris gallopavo (turkey)
Lineage: Eukaryota; Metazoa; Chordata; Aves; Galliformes; Phasianidae
Source: RefSeq, a predicted model, not a curated record